Molecule: ribosomal RNA, 1530 nt
Filed under: Escherichia coli
Lineage: Bacteria; Pseudomonadati; Pseudomonadota; Gammaproteobacteria; Enterobacterales; Enterobacteriaceae
Also listed under: 1 other name
Description: 16S ribosomal RNA
Rfam family: Bacterial small subunit ribosomal RNA
Source: RNAcentral
AGAGUUUGAUCAUGGCUCAGAUUGAACGCUGGCGGCAGGCCUAACACAUGCAAGUCGAACGGUAACAGGAAGAAGCUUGCUUCUUUGCUGACGAGUGGCGGACGGGUGAGUAAUGUCUGGGAAACUGCCUGAUGGAGGGGGAUAACUACUGGAAACGGUAGCUAAUACCGCAUAACGUCGCAAGACCAAAGAGGGGGACCUUCGGGCCUCUUGCCAUCGGAUGUGCCCAGAUGGGAUUAGCUUGUUGGUGGGGUAACGGCUCACCAAGGCGACGAUCCCUAGCUGGUCUGAGAGGAUGACCAGCCACACUGGAACUGAGACACGGUCCAGACUCCUACGGGAGGCAGCAGUGGGGAAUAUUGCACAAUGGGCGCAAGCCUGAUGCAGCCAUGCCGCGUGUAUGAAGAAGGCCUUCGGGUUGUAAAGUACUUUCAGCGGGGAGGAAGGGAGUAAAGUUAAUACCUUUGCUCAUUGACGUUACCCGCAGAAGAAGCACCGGCUAACUCCGUGCCAGCAGCCGCGGUAAUACGGAGGGUGCAAGCGUUAAUCGGAAUUACUGGGCGUAAAGCGCACGCAGGCGGUUUGUUAAGUCAGAUGUGAAAUCCCCGGGCUCAACCUGGGAACUGCAUCUGAUACUGGCAAGCUUGAGUCUCGUAGAGGGGGGUAGAAUUCCAGGUGUAGCGGUGAAAUGCGUAGAGAUCUGGAGGAAUACCGGUGGCGAAGGCGGCCCCCUGGACGAAGACUGACGCUCAGGUGCGAAAGCGUGGGGAGCAAACAGGAUUAGAUACCCUGGUAGUCCACGCCGUAAACGAUGUCGACUUGGAGGUUGUGCCCUUGAGGCGUGGCUUCCGGAGCUAACGCGUUAAGUCGACCGCCUGGGGAGUACGGCCGCAAGGUUAAAACUCAAAUGAAUUGACGGGGGCCCGCACAAGCGGUGGAGCAUGUGGUUUAAUUCGAUGCAACGCGAAGAACCUUACCUGGUCUUGACAUCCACGGAAGUUUUCAGAGAUGAGAAUGUGCCUUCGGGAACCGUGAGACAGGUGCUGCAUGGCUGUCGUCAGCUCGUGUUGUGAAAUGUUGGGUUAAGUCCCGCAACGAGCGCAACCCUUAUCCUUUGUUGCCAGCGGUCCGGCCGGGAACUCAAAGGAGACUGCCAGUGAUAAACUGGAGGAAGGUGGGGAUGACGUCAAGUCAUCAUGGCCCUUACGACCAGGGCUACACACGUGCUACAAUGGCGCAUACAAAGAGAAGCGACCUCGCGAGAGCAAGCGGAUCUCAUAAAGUGCGUCGUAGUCCGGAUUGGAGUCUGCAACUCGACUCCAUGAAGUCGGAAUCGCUAGUAAUCGUGGAUCAGAAUGCCACGGUGAAUACGUUCCCGGGCCUUGUACACACCGCCCGUCACACCAUGGGAGUGGGUUGCAAAAGAAGUAGGUAGCUUAACCUUCGGGAGGGCGCUUACCACUUUGUGAUUCAUGACUGGGGUGAAGUCGUAACAAGGUAACCGUAGGGGAACCUGCGGUUGGAUCACCU